CCCGGGCCUUGUACACACCGCCCGUCACGUCAUGAAAGUCGGCAACACCCGAAGCCAGUGGCCCAACCGUUUACGGAGGGAGUUGUCGAAGGUGGGGCUGGCGAUUGGGACG
This 112-nucleotide ribosomal RNA is filed under the name uncultured bacterium. Its description in RNAcentral is "partial 16S ribosomal RNA". It matches the Rfam family "Bacterial small subunit ribosomal RNA", at positions 1373 to 1482 of the family's 1533-position model. The record is from RNAcentral.